CUGUCACCGCCUCCCCCCAGGGCGCUGCUCCCGGAGCUGCCGUGGUGUCCCCCAGGCAGGUGACACGCACCUGUGCCUGCCUGACGGGCCCGGGGCCUGUGGCCAUCACCGUGUCACCGCCUCGUUUGCGGUACUACCGAGCAGGUGGCACGGCGAGCCGUAUCCCCAAAUAAUGCCUCAACGCGAUGUGCCAGUCUGUCAGCACAGGGCACAACAUUAUCCUUACAAAUAAAAGGCUGUCAAAGCGUUUUCAGACCCUGUGCCAAGCCUUGCGGCACUGAGAUGAGGAUGGCUUAUGGACUGCAUGUCAAAGGUUUUCAUGGAUUUUUCAAGCAGAAGCACUGAAUGGUAAAUGCUAAUUGGCUCUGCCAGUGAAUAUACACCGAACCCUAAGUUUCACAAAUGACCUGGGUUGCAAAGUACCUCCAUACUGAGCAACACAAUUGUUAGAUAUCUGAAUUAGAAAGAAGCUGAUUUUCACUCCAGUUCCCACUGAAAUCAAGUGGAUUGCAAUCUGAAAUCUGAAAAUGUUUGACUACCUCCAUGCACACAUUGCAAUAAUAAAAGGGGGACCUAUCCCUUAAAUUAACA
RNAcentral lists this long non-coding RNA (591 nucleotides) under Anser brachyrhynchus (Pink-footed goose). Its description in RNAcentral is "lncRNA (ENSABRG00000010816.1)". The record is from RNAcentral. Lineage: Eukaryota; Metazoa; Chordata; Aves; Anseriformes; Anatidae.